Molecule: microRNA precursor, 90 nt
Filed under: Larimichthys crocea (large yellow croaker)
Lineage: Eukaryota; Metazoa; Chordata; Actinopteri; Sciaenidae
Description: mir-7 microRNA precursor family
Rfam family: mir-7 microRNA precursor family
About the family: This family represents the microRNA (miRNA) precursor mir-7. In this case the mature sequence comes from the 5' arm of the precursor. The extents of the hairpin precursors are not generally known and are estimated based on hairpin prediction.
Source: Rfam by way of RNAcentral
UGUUUUGAAUGCUCUGGAAGAUAUGGGAUUUUGUUGUUGUAAAUACAGUACUCAAACAACAAGUCACAGCCUUCCAUAAUAUUCAAAAUG